CUUAUAUUGAAGUGGGGCUGUACCUGUGAACUGAACAACCCCCAAAUUGUGGAGAUCGUCGUGGGCAGCACGGGGCUGGAUCCAGUUUUUCCUUUAGGAAACUCAGGAAAACAAUGGGUGUCCCAGCCAGCCAGAGAAGGAUUUGAAGGCGCCUUUCAAGAUAAAUGUUUGCAAAGCAUUCCUACCACCCUGGAAUUUGUUCCAUCCCUCGGAUCAUCCUGGUGCCUCCUCUGAAUUUGCUCCAGCAGCUCCACGUCCUUCCCGUGCUGAGCCCCAGGGCUGGGGCAGCUGAGCACAGGAGCAGAAUUCCCAAAUAUUCUUGGCUUUGUGGUGUGUGGCUUAAAAGCAGAGAGUGCUGGGGUUUUACCUCCAAGGAAGGUGUUCAGGAAUGAUGCUCCUUGUGAGCUGUCUGCCUGGGAACAGCAGCUGUGAUCAAGCUGGCUUUGUUUGAGCCAGACAGGCAGGCAGCUCCUUCCCAGCAAACAGCAAAUUCCUGAGCAAAUAGGUCAGGGAAUCUUAAAAAGAGAAAAGAUCUCCAAAAGAAAGAAAAAACCCCAUUUCAUCUCCCAAACUGUGCCACCUCCAUCUCUGUGGCCAUGGCAGAGAAGUGAGCAGGAACUUCAAAAAUGCAGAUUUACUCUCCACACUUCAGUGCUUUUCUCUAAAGACGUUGGUGUGAGGUGU
Molecule: long non-coding RNA, 684 nt
Organism: Corvus hawaiiensis (hawaiian crow)
Lineage: Eukaryota; Metazoa; Chordata; Aves; Passeriformes; Corvidae
Exons: 3
Source: RefSeq, a predicted model, not a curated record